UACGUAGGAGGCAAGCGUUGUCCGGAUUUAUUGGGCGUAAAGAGCGCGUAGGUGGUGAUACAAGUUGGAUGUUAAAUCUCCCGGCUUAACUGGGAAAAGUCAUUCAAUACUGUAUCGCUGGAGGGCAGUAGAGGAAAGCGGAAUUCCCGGUGUAGCGGUGAAAUGCGUAGAGAUCGGGAGGAACACCUGUGGCGAAAGCGGCCACCUGGCCUGUACCUGACGCUGAGACACGAAAGCUAGGGGAGCGAAC
Molecule: ribosomal RNA, 250 nt
Filed under: uncultured bacterium
Lineage: Bacteria
Description: partial 16S ribosomal RNA
Rfam family: Bacterial small subunit ribosomal RNA
Source: RNAcentral